This 513-nucleotide ribosomal RNA is filed under the name Triticum aestivum (bread wheat). RNAcentral describes it as "partial small subunit ribosomal RNA". The record is from RNAcentral. Lineage: Eukaryota; Viridiplantae; Streptophyta; Magnoliopsida; Poales; Poaceae.
AUGUGCACUCCUCGCCUCCACAUCUCCACCACCGUCCGACGACCUGGUCACACUACCCCGCUCGCCUCCUCACUAUUCGACGACCUCUGUACUGUCGUCCAGUCCCGGCGGCCCCUGACCGAUGAGCUCACCAGUGCCUCCUAUCCUCCCUCCGAGGCGACCUGGCCAGGGACGAGAUCUCGUUGGGUCCUCUCCUCCCACAGCUUCCGUCCGCCUCUGGCGUGCUACACUAAUUUUUCAGUUCCAGCGACGUUGUGGAUUGGGUGCUCACCCGAUGCGAUUCAGUUUUUUCUGGUGUGUUUAGUUUUACAGUGUGGUGCAGCUCACUCUUUUUGUUUUUGCAGCUCACUAUUUUCUUGUUUUGCAGCUCACUCUUUUUUCUUCUGGAAAUCAUUUGCAGUGCACUCAGUAAGAAAAAGAAGAGAACAUCGAUGUUCAUUUGAAGUUUGUUUUGUUGUUUAUGGGAAACGCAGAGAGAAAAGGGUAGUAAGAAUGGAUGGUCACUUUGUAUAA